UUGAAAUGUCUUUUUUAAGCAUCCACAGAUGCUUGGUGUUUUGUGCAUGCAUAUCCUUAAUUCCAUCAUUUGGAAUGUUUGUGGCUUCUAGGUGAUGGUUGACCCGGAUGCUCCGAGCCCGAGUGAGCCCUAUAUGAGAGAGUGGGUGCACUGGAUCGUUGUGGACAUCCCUGGAACUGGAAAUGUGAGCU
Molecule: non-coding RNA, 191 nt
Organism: Cucurbita pepo subsp. pepo (vegetable marrow)
Lineage: Eukaryota; Viridiplantae; Streptophyta; Magnoliopsida; Cucurbitales; Cucurbitaceae
Source: RefSeq, a predicted model, not a curated record